UACGAAGGGGGCUAGCGUUGCUUGGAAUCACUGGGCGUAAAGGGUGCGUAGGCGGGUUCUUAAGUCAGAGGUGAAAUCCUGGAGCUCAACUCCAGAACUGCCUUUGAUACUGAGAGUCUUGAGUAUGACAGAGGUGAGUGGAACUGCGAGUGUAGAGGUGAAAUUCGUAGAUAUUCGCAAGAACACCAGUGGCGAAGGCGGCUCACUGGGUCAUUACUGACGCUGAGGCACGAAAGCGUGGGGAGCAAACAGG
Molecule: ribosomal RNA, 253 nt
Filed under: uncultured bacterium
Lineage: Bacteria
Description: partial 16S ribosomal RNA
Rfam family: Bacterial small subunit ribosomal RNA
Source: RNAcentral